RNAcentral lists this long non-coding RNA (2474 nucleotides) under Anthonomus grandis grandis. RNAcentral's name for it is "uncharacterized LOC126746944". Lineage: Eukaryota; Metazoa; Arthropoda; Insecta; Coleoptera; Curculionidae. The record is from RNAcentral.
GUACCGGGCGGCCACUUAAGCGAGGUAAGCGGCUGUAUCUCAGAAACUAAUAAUCGUAAAACCUUCAUUGGCCGGCUACUAGGGGCCGUUACAGCUACUUUAAAAUUUAAAAUUCAAUUUUUUCAAAAACCUUGCAAUAACGGGCAUCUUAAAAUAUUAUUGUAAUAAUCUUCAAACAUUUCCAGACAAAAAAGUCUUAACAAACACUUGUAAAGUAAAGUGGUGGGGAAAGUGUUUAGCUUGAGUGAGAAAAACAGCUGAAAACUGGCUCUGGAUGGGCCGAUUCUUCUAAAAUAAGUUUUGGUCAAAAGUCUCUCUACUGCUUUAUUUUUCAUAUCAACAAAAUAUUACUGUUAGCUUUCGCUAAAAUCCGAUAGGAUCGAUACCUCUUGCGAUUUAAAAUUUUUUAGGUUGUGACCCUGGGGGAGUAGAGGGUGAAGUAAUUUUAGGUUAGAAAGUUGUCCCCCUUGACAAACCUUUUGACGUGUUUCGACGUUCUUUUUUUAAACAGUGGUUUUCGAUAAAUCCGUGGGGGGAAGUUUUCAAAUGAACACCCUGUACAUAAAAGAACCGAAAAAAAAUAUAUAUAUACCCCAAUAAAUAAAAUACAUGAAUAAUAAAAUAAUUUACUUGUUUUUCUCCUUUAUUUCCUUCAUCCAUUUAGCUAAGCACUUUAUUCGAUGACCAUUCCAUAAAACCUACGACCUGCAUGCAGCUAUACGAGCUCCUGACUUAUCUUCCUUCGAAGACGUUUCUUCAUCCUUCUGUACUACCAAAGAAGUUCAACGCAUAGAAGAAUUGACCCAAAAAUAAGCAGAAUUACCUCCCAGUAUCCAAUAGUCUGCUUAUUCUCAGUACUCGUGGCUGAAGUUUCUCCACUAUUUCUUUGGGAGAUUGGGCUAUUAUCACCUCCUUCGAUUGAUUUUUUCCCAUGUUUUUUACUAAAAUUAAGCUCCGCGAAACUUAAGCAUUUCACUUGAACUACUCAUUAUCGAAGUUUUUAGUUUUUCACAUUUUUAAAAUAUUUGUACUGGCAAGAUCGCCAUAUGUUAUUUCAGGAUAUUAGUUAAAAAUCACACGUCUUACUUAACGCAUCUAUAUGAACUAAAAAACCAAAAACCCCACAAUAAAAACAUUACAACCAAUCCAACAUAGGACAAUAACAUCGAGUAUUGCUUAGUCUACAAUUAAACAUUUUAUAAUGCAAUUAAACAUCUUACUAUUUUCUAGCAUGACCUUUGUUCUUCAAAACGUUCAAACCUUUUUAUUUGAAGUUGUCUUGUCCGCAACUCUAUUUUUUAGCUCUCUCGAAAGGUUCUUAAUCCACCGCUAUGCUUCACAGUGCCUAUGGUAUGUCUUCCAUCUGAUCCGUGUAACGGUUGAUUUUUGCUUAAACUAUUUUAUAUAUUAAUCUAAUUCUUUAAAAACGAAGAUUCUUAACUAUUUAAUCAAACAAUUAAAAAUUAUCGAACUGUAUAUUACUACUUAAUUCACAGCCAUCCUGUAUAAAUAAUAUUCGUUUGAAAAGAAUCCUAGUCUGGCAUUCUUUGUACGCGUUCUUCGUUUUUUUUUUUGGGUUUUUCGCUCACGGGAAUCCGCCGAGCAUCGAUCAUUUCUGCCGAGAUCCACUUCUCUGCAAAUAGUACAGACUAAAAUCGCUGUUUUGUGGCAAUUUAACGCUUUAGUAAUUUUUGCGUUCCUUUGUAGAUUAAUAGCUACAAAAUUAGCAAAUUAAAUGAAUUAUAUCUCUGUAGGAGUUCUUUUGAAAUUCAUUUGCUGACUUUGGUCAGGAUAAAUGGUUUUUGUCUUAUAGUAGCAUAGAAAAUCUUUCGCUUAAAUAAAUCAAUUUAUAUUGGAGGACUCGAAAGCUAGAACAAUUUUAUUAAUUCUGUUGCUUUCCCAUUGCUGAAUUCUGAAAGUGUAAAAAAAAGUAUAUAAAAGCCACAAAAUUCCACCAUUGUGGUUGAAGGAUAGAGUGAAAAGAAAGACCCAAAGCAGUUCUAUUCUUCCUCGUUGAUCUCCGGUUUCCAGAUUGGAUGAAAGUUAGUUUGAUAUGAUGAAGCUCCAGAUAUGUCCAGUUGUUUGAUGGUGUCCUCGAUUCCUUGAGUCUGUUGUGGUGUCCCAGGCUCCCAGAUAAGUCGUUUAUUUGUAAAUUUGGUGCAGCCUAAAUGCUGAAAACAAAUUGAUUAAUAUAUAUUUUUUUUGUAAUUUUAAUUAAGGCUAAAUUGAAAACUUAUUUUUACUUACCGUGUCCAAAGUAUAAUUUUUGCAAGUAUUUAUUUUAUUCAAAAGUAGUGCUUAAAAUAUUACUUAUCGAUACAAAAGGUGUGAUAACACAGUUUUUUAUGUUUUUAUAUCGGCAGAAGUGUAAACCAAAUUGUGAUCACAAUAAGGUGGGUUUAUCUUCGUUGUAUUUUCUUUAUAAGCUUUUUAAGUGAUACCAUGGUAUAAUAGCUCGUUUUUUUUAAAUUAAA